AUUGAACGCUGGCGGCAUGCCUUACACAUGCAAGUCGAACGGUAACAGGUUAAGCUGACGAGUGGCGAACGGGUGAGUAAUGUAUCGGAACGUGCCCAGUCGUGGGGGAUAACGGCCGGAAGGAGAACCUAAUACGGAAUACGCCCUGAGGGUAAAAGCGGGGGCUGGAAAACCCUGGCGCAAUUGGAGCGGCGGAUAUCAGAUUAGGUAGUUGGUGAGGUAAGGGCCCACCAAGCCGACGAUCUGUAGCUGGUCUGAGAGGACGACCAGCCACACUGGGACUGAGACACGGCCCAGACUCCUACGGGAGGCAGCAGUGGGGAAUUUUGGACAAUGGGCGCAAGCCUGAUCCAGCCAUGCCGCGUGCGGGAAGAAGGCCUUCGGGUUGUAAACCGCUUUUGUCAGGGAAGAAAAGGUUCUGGCUAAUACCUGGGACUCAUGACGGUACCUGAAGAAUAAGCACCGGCUAACUACGUG
This 477-nucleotide ribosomal RNA is filed under the name uncultured bacterium. RNAcentral describes it as "partial 16S ribosomal RNA". It matches the Rfam family "Bacterial small subunit ribosomal RNA", at positions 29 to 507 of the family's 1533-position model. The record is from RNAcentral.